CAGGGUGAUAAUAAAUGUCACCUCUACUUGUCUGCCACUCAAGUCCUGAUAUGCACUGCAAAGCUAAAGUCAGCAAAACAAACUAGCUUCCUGGAAAGGAGAAUUUUAAGAACAAGAACAGAAAAAAAGCCUGGUAAAAGCUGUAACUGGCUCUGCCUGUCUGUGCUAUGACAGCCAACAAUAUCACCUGCUGAUGAUUUACAGAUUCCUGGGAGAUGUGUUGUUGAGUCUCAAAGAACUGGAACAAGAACAACUCGCUCAAAUUGCUUCCCGUGAAACAGCAUAAUGUAUCCACCCGCUUCAUACUCUCCUAAUUUAGGACAUGUGUAGUCUGUAAUGAUGAACUGGCCAACUGAUUAUGUUGCUGUAAAUCUCGUUCCCCACCUUACAAAACACCCCUGAUUGACCCCUUUUUCAUGAUAGCUCAGUGCAGCAUUUCCUGUCCACUUCUUGAGAGGGAGAAAAUCAGCACCAGCCACUUGCAAAAGCACUUCUCAAGAGUGAAAAAUGCCCACAAGAAGGAGGAGGAUAUGCUGAUGACAGCAUGUUCAGGCCUGUGUAUUCAACCAAUGUGUUAGACUAGGGAUCCAUG
Molecule: long non-coding RNA, 592 nt
Filed under: Zonotrichia albicollis (white-throated sparrow)
Lineage: Eukaryota; Metazoa; Chordata; Aves; Passeriformes; Passerellidae
Description: lncRNA (ENSZALG00000003416.1)
Source: RNAcentral